Anthonomus grandis grandis is the source of this 474-nucleotide long non-coding RNA. RefSeq lists it as uncharacterized. The record is from RefSeq and is a predicted model, not a curated record. NCBI's taxonomy places the organism in Eukaryota, Metazoa, Arthropoda, Insecta, Coleoptera, Curculionidae. The transcript is spliced from 4 exons.
CAAAACCUUUGCGAAUUCUACUUCCGAGUUUUACCGAUGAGUUUUCGUCAGUGAGCUGUCUGGUUCAGCGCGAAGUUUUCCGCAUUUCGAAAAACUUGGAUUUAUACGUUACGGAGCUAUAAACGGAGAGGAUUGUGAGUUUUAACAAGAAAUAUAAGAAACUUAAAAAAACUUGAAAAUUAGGGUCAUUGUAGUUAGAGUGAUAUAGUGCAGGUAUUUACUCCGUUGAGUUUUGACAGUUACCUAAUCGUCUUGGGAAAUAACUAUCCCUUAGAAAAAUGAGAAGGACUAGAUUAUUCAUCUAUUGAUACUCCUCGGGGUCUUGAUUGAUUGAUUAAUGGUUAUUCAGAAUCUCAGAGCUUAAUUUAGAUUAUCCAGGAAGAAAACAUAAAAUGGAAUAUAUUAGUAAGACCGCAUUAAUUGGAAGCAACAAGGCAAAGUUUAUACAGCACAAUUUAUAAAUAAUUCUAGUGU